This 468-nucleotide ribosomal RNA is filed under the name uncultured bacterium. RNAcentral describes it as "partial 16S ribosomal RNA". It matches the Rfam family "Bacterial small subunit ribosomal RNA", at positions 28 to 507 of the family's 1533-position model. The record is from RNAcentral.
GACGAACGCUGGCGGCGUGCUUAACACAUGCAAGUCGAACGGAAAGGCCCUGCUUUUGCGGGGUGCUAGAGUGGCGAACGGGUGAGUAACCCGUGAGUAACCUGCCCUUGACUUUGGGAUAACUUCAGGAAACUGGGGCUAAUACCGGAUAGGAGCUCCUGCUGCAUGGUGGGGGUUGGAAAGUUUCGGAGGUUGGGGAUGGACUCGCGGCUUAUCAGCUUGUUGGUGGGGUAGUGGCUUACCAAGGCUUUGACGGGUAGCCGGCCUGAGAGGGUGACCGGCCACAUUGGGACUGAGGUACGGCCCAGUCUCCAACGGGAGGCAGCAGGGGGGAAUAUUGCACAAUGGGCGGAAGCCUGAUGCAGCAACGUCGCGUGCGGGAUGACGGCCUUCGGGUGGUAAACCGCUUUCGCCUGUGACGAAGCGGGAGUGACGGUAAUGGGUGAAGAAGCACCGGCUAACUACGUG